Quercus robur (English oak) is the source of this 581-nucleotide long non-coding RNA. RefSeq lists it as uncharacterized. Lineage: Eukaryota; Viridiplantae; Streptophyta; Magnoliopsida; Fagales; Fagaceae. The transcript has 3 exons. The record is from RefSeq and is a predicted model, not a curated record.
AAAGGAAGUUGAAAAGGGGUGGGAUAUUUUCUUCCCUAGCAUCCCACGUACCCCACCCCUAAAGUCAAUUUGGCUUAUCUUUAUUUUGCUGCAUCUGAAGUCCAGCAGCUCACUUUCCUCUUUCUCUACUCCUUUUUCCCCUUUCUUUGUUCUUCUUUCCUCUUCCCUUCUUACACGGCAACAUCUCUCUCUUCCUUUCUCACCAAAAAUUCUAGUUUCUUUAAAGAAGAAAUUAAACAAUUAGCCUUAAGGUUUCAUCUUCAAAGUUUGUGGGUGUUACCAGUUCCCCAGAUUUAAGCUCCUUCGACUUUAGGCUCUCGGUUCCUCUGCUUUCAGUUAGCAGGUUUUAUUUUGGAGCAGAGGGAGCCUUAGUCGAGUUUUGGAAGGAGCUGGUUUAGUUUUAUAUGUAUAGAUCCUAAAUUAGCAAUAUGAUGUUUAGAUUUGUAGCAUUGUUUAUUUUAGGAUCUAAUGAAAGUGUAUACCUUAAAGUAUUAAGAGAUGUAUUAUGUGAAAUUCCGAAUUUGAACAAUUGGUGAAUUAUGUUAUUCUUUGGAGUACAAUGUAGAUGCUCUGAAUGUCAA